Molecule: ribosomal RNA, 447 nt
Filed under: uncultured bacterium
Lineage: Bacteria
Description: bacterial SSU rRNA
Rfam family: Bacterial small subunit ribosomal RNA
Source: RNAcentral
CGGGCUAUAUCGUAUCAGCUUGUUGGUGAGGUAACGGCUCACCAGGGCUAUGACGCGUAUCUGGUUUGAGAGGAUGAUCAGACACACUGGAACUGAGACACGGUCCAGACUCCUACGGGAGGCAGCAGUAGGGAAUAUUGCACAAUGGGGGAAACCCUGAUGCAGCAACGCCGCGUGGAGGAUGACACAUUUCGGUGCGUAAACUCCUUUUAACAGAGAAGUGACGGUAUCUGUUGAAUAAGCGCCGGCUAACUCCGUGCCAGCAGCCGCGGUAAUACGGGGGGCGCAAGCGUUAUUCGGAAUCACUGGGCGUAAAGGGUGCGUAGGCGUCCUAAUAAGUCUCCUGUGAAAGCCCACGGCUCAACCGUGGAACUGCAGGGGAAACUGUUAGGAUAGAGUGUGGAAGAGGUAGAUGGAAUUUCCGGUGUAGGGGUAAAAUCCGUAGAG